GAAGAAUCUCAAGCCAAUGUGACUGAAUUGAACUGAGAAUCAGAACAAUGUCAUAUAUGAAUCUUUUUUGUCUUUUGAGUGCAAUACAAUCAGUAACUCCGGAGAACGGCAGAUGGACACUGGGGCUACUAUUACAUUUGUGCCAACAAGUCAAUGUUCUCUUCGUACACACUAGUUGAUGGAGAAUAACUGUAUAGCUCUAAGGUUGAAGGACAAGGGGAAGUGGUAGUCAACAUAACUUACUGACAAGAAACUCAUCCUUAAUAAUGUGCUACAUGUCUGACGUUGCAGCAGUCCGGUGUUUGGUCUUUCCUUCAAGAUCGAGAAGCUGCUGCUAUCGUCAAGACCUGCAUUAGAGGGAGCAAUCUGAAGUACACAACAUGAAGGUGUAGGGCUCAAAUAAUUUUGAGUUUGAUUUUAUUUUAAUUUAUGCAUUUCUUUUGCAUUAUACAUGUUCUAGUGUUGUAGGAACUUUAGAUACAACGAAUUAUUCUUCUAAAGGGGCUGACUAUGUCUAAUUCAAUAUCUUCACCAGUGGGAACAUGAAAUUGAAACUUAUACACGGUAAAUACCAAAAUGAUAGGGUUACCAAAGCCCAUAUCACACUUCCUACUUUCUGAACAUGUUCAGGAAUUAAUCGUGCUGCUUGUUUAAUGUUUUUGAACCAUAUAUGGUUUUCCCGUCCUUUUAUAUGGUCAAGUUGUUUCCCUGUGCUCCAGUCACAGAUGGCUGUAAUGAAGCCAUAAAUGGCAUGGCGUGG
Molecule: long non-coding RNA, 760 nt
Filed under: Olea europaea (common olive)
Lineage: Eukaryota; Viridiplantae; Streptophyta; Magnoliopsida; Lamiales; Oleaceae
Description: long non-coding RNA (OEUR_LNC008897)
Source: RNAcentral